CCUACGGGAGGCAGCAGUGGGGAAUAUUGCACAAUGGGGGAAACCCUGAUGCAGCGACGCCGCGUGAGUGAAGCAGUAUUUCGGUAUGUAAAGCUCUAUCAGCAGGGAAGAAAAUGACGGUACCUGAUUCAGAAGCCCCGGCUAACUACGUGCCAGCAGCCGCGGUAAUACGUAGGGGGCAAGCGUUAUCCGGAUUUACUGGGUGUAAAGGGAGCGUAGACGGCAGCACAAGUCUGGAGUGAAAUGCCGGGGCUUAACCCCGGAACUGCUUUGGAAACUGUGCAGCUAGAGUGCAGGAGAGGUAAGUGGAAUGCCUAGUGGAGCGGUGAAAUGCGUAGAUAUUAGGAGGAACACCAGUGGCGAAGGCGGCUUACUGGACUGUAACUGACGUUGAGGCUCGAAAGCGUGGGGAGCAAACAGGAUUAGAUACCCCAGUAGUC
RNAcentral lists this ribosomal RNA (440 nucleotides) under uncultured bacterium. RNAcentral's name for it is "partial 16S ribosomal RNA". It matches the Rfam family "Bacterial small subunit ribosomal RNA", at positions 338 to 795 of the family's 1533-position model. The record is from RNAcentral.